CUGCAAGCCUCGGAGUUCUGCUGUGGCUACACCAGCAGGAAGACUGCUGAUGAAGGAGAUUUCAGUUUGCCUUAAAUGAGUUUCUAAUGUCCCCCCACACUCCAAUCUCCUUACUCCCAAGCCAAGCUAAGAAAAAGUGGGUGUCACUGCAAAGCGAAAGGAUUUCUAUCCCCUCACCAAAAUAAUUCUUUUUGUCUUUAGCUGCUGAGGAAAUGGCAUGUUACUGAGCCUUGAUGGCAUUACUGGCACUUUGAGUUUUACCGUUUCCUUAAAAUCACAGUACUGGAAUCAGAUGAAAUUUGCUUUCUAAGCUGCAGCCACUCGUCAUGUGCAGAAUUCUGCUGCCCACCCAAGUCCUGCUUAAACAGCCGCAUUUUAUAAGCUGGUACGGGAGCUCUGCAACAACCUUCACAGAGAAAGGAUCUGCUGCUUUAUUUGUAUACAAAAAGAAAAAGACAGUCCAAACUUUUCAGAAUCCCUUAUUGUCAUCUGCUGAAAGGGCAAGUUGUAGUUAGCAUGUUAAUCCUUGUAAAAAAUGCAUUAACUUUUCAUUUAGGGUGAAAUGCUUCCAGCUAAAAGACCUAAAGUGACUCAAUUAUGAUUCUUCGUCAAAGAAAACAUAAAAGCUGUUUGCAUUACAGUGUAAAGUGAAAUACAAAAAUAAAAUUAUUCUAAGGAU
Molecule: long non-coding RNA, 679 nt
Organism: Homo sapiens (human)
Lineage: Eukaryota; Metazoa; Chordata; Mammalia; Primates; Hominidae
Source: Ensembl